Molecule: ribosomal RNA, 492 nt
Filed under: uncultured bacterium
Lineage: Bacteria
Description: partial 16S ribosomal RNA
Rfam family: Bacterial small subunit ribosomal RNA
Source: RNAcentral
AGUGAACGCUGGCGGUAUGCCUAACACAUGCAAGUCGAACGGCAGCACAGUAAGCUCUCGCUCUUGCGGGUGGCGGGUGGCGGACGGGUGAUGAAUAGAUCGGAGGCUACUUUGUCGGGGAGUACAACGAAGAGAGACUGACGCUAAUACCGCAUACGACCUACCGGAGGAAGCAGGGGAUCUUCGGAGCUUGCGCGUCUGAUUGAGCCGAUGUCGGGUUAGCUAGUUGGCGGGGUAAAGGCCCACCAAGGCGACGAUCCGUAGCUGGUCUGAGAGGAUGAUCAGCCACACGGGAACUGAGACACGGUCCAGACUCCUACGGGAGGACGCAGUGGGGAAUCUUGGACAAUGGGCGAGAGCCUGAUACAGCAAUACCGCGUGAGUGAUGAAGGACUUCGGGUUGUAAAGCUCUGUUGUUGGGAAAGAAGAAAAGCCGGUUCAGCCGGGGCUGUGCUGACGGUACCCAAAGAAUAAGCCCCGGCUAACUUCGUG